CCCAUACCCCUUCCACACUCUCGAUUUAACCUGCAACCCACAAGAAGGAACUCAUCUUUCCAAUACACAGACAUUUAUUUCCUCAAUCUCUACUCCUCUCUCUCGACUAUAUAAGAAACAAACAACAGAGACCUCAUUCCUCCUCUGAUUGUGACAGAAACCCAAACCAGACACUCACACAGCCACUCCCUUCCUCGCCGGCCGGUGAAACAGGUGGAGCCGUGACCGGCGGCAGCUUGUUCACCCGACAAACAGCCAACCCCCCCCCCCCCCCGUCUGUUGAAGAAGAUGACCAUCGAGUGGUGGUCAGCGGCGACCAAACAGAGAGCAGGAAGAAAGAGUGACGGCGGAGAGCCAUCGUCGUGCAGCGGCGUGGUGACGGAACUAGUCGAAACACGAAGACGGAAGGAGAGAGAACCGAGAGAGAGGUUUUGAUGACGGUGGGGUUCGUUCACCAUUUCUUUUCCAGUAACCACGCACCUACACACCUCGUCUCUCUCUCUCUCUGAUUUGGGUUACUGGCGUACGGCGGCGAGAGACGGAGAAAGAAAGAGGAAACAGAGAAAAGAGUGGGGAGUCCGACGGCGGUGGCAGUGGCUGCCGGAGGUCCGAUGUUAGCUCGGGAUUUCGGACUAGGUUCAGUUUGGUUUAGAGUUUGGUUCAGCUUCGAAGCAGACACGGCUCGGUUCAGUCAUGGUUCGUUCGGGUCAGGCAUGGUCAACAUAAUUCAACGCUGGUCAACAACUCGGGUCUCGGGUCAGCCGCGGUUUGAGCUUUUCGGGUCACCCACGGGUUUGUUCGGAUCAGAUUUAAGGAGGGAUUCGGGUUCGACUCGGUGCAUUUCGGCUCGACUCAGUCCAACUCGGUUCGACUCAAUGCAUUUUGGCUUGACUCGGUCAACUCAGGCAAACCUGGUCAACUCGGUGAGUCGACUCGGUCAACUCAGUUGACUCGGUCAACUCAGUUGACUCGGUCAACUCAGUCAACUUUUUCGCGGUUCGACAUGAAGAAUUGGUAAAUAAUUAACAUCGAGAUUAAUACUUACGUUUUAUAAUAGUUUUUGAUGGAUUACGUGAAAACGAGCUCAACCUGACUAACGGUUUUACAUUUAGUGACUUGGUUUUAAUAUUUGGCGUUAUGAUAUAUUUGACGCAAACUAUAUAUAUAAUAUGUGUUGAAUUGUUGAA
This is a long non-coding RNA of Helianthus annuus (common sunflower), 1187 nucleotides long. RefSeq lists it as uncharacterized. The record is from RefSeq and is a predicted model, not a curated record. NCBI's taxonomy places the organism in Eukaryota, Viridiplantae, Streptophyta, Magnoliopsida, Asterales, Asteraceae. The transcript has 2 exons.